This 3459-nucleotide long non-coding RNA is filed under the name Podarcis lilfordi (Lilford's wall lizard). Lineage: Eukaryota; Metazoa; Chordata; Lepidosauria; Squamata; Lacertidae. The record is from RNAcentral.
GUACCACUGUAGUUGAUUUCAGGUGAAUUGUGCCAAUUGACUGUAUCUUCUUUCUACAGAAAGAUACACCACUGCAUGAAAGUCCUAUAGUGAUCAUGCUGUAUUUUUAAUACUUUUUUAUAUUACAAAACCAAAUGUCCCUCCCCCCCCAAUUCAGUUCCAUAGCAAUUAGGAUAGCAGAAUAGCAGUUCAGCAUCCUGUUCACAGAGCGGCCAACCAGAUGCCUAUGAGAAGCCUGCAAGCAUGAUUCCUAGCCACCCAAAAAGCCUAAUCUUCACAGGGGAAUGAAUGACCCUGUGAAAGCAAGGGAGGAGUUGGGGGCCACACUUUUAGCACAGGUACAGCUCCAUGUGUGUUGACUUUCUGCUAGAUGAUUGAAGCAGGGAUUUUCAAACCCUCAUAGCACCACCCAAAGAACAGCUGCCUGCAAAAUGUCGUAGACCCACCUAUAAUCACCUCCAGGGGAGGCACCAGGAAUUCAAAGGUAGCGUUGCCAUGAAAGAGUUGCAAUGAUGGGUCUGACAACCAAAUCCUAAUCCUGAGGAGAAUUAAGUAUAGAAGCAUGCUUGCAACUCAGCAUUCUUAGAAUUACGGCUUUACCUAGAAAUCCAGUGUCUUAAAAGGUGUUCCUUUAUGUGCCAUAUGCUUUGAAACUUUUCUGUUAUCUUUUUUUAUUCUCCCUUCCCCUUAAAUCUCUGGUACGAACUACCCUGCCGUUUAUUUAUUCAGGUGUGGUGGAUGGUCACGACCAGCCUGUGCGGUAUAGCAACAUUGAGCAUGAGUAUGCUUUGAAUUAAAAGAGUGAUGACAUGAAAGAUUAACUCUUUCCUAUUAUCCACACCCUUUCCCUUGCACCCCCACCCCAUAAUGUCGUCACCACAAAAAUAAAGAAUUCCAGAGCUCACACAGGAAACAUUUCUUCAUUCCUCCAUGUUAUCGUUACAUCCUGAUUGCCAAAUACAACAGGAAUCAGACUAAGUGCUGUGGAUUAUGAGUGACAAAAACAAUCCAUUAUUUCAUGGCUCCUCCCAUAGGCUCCUGACCUCCACAGUUAUCCAGGCAGCUUGUGCUCUUUGGCUGCAAAGUUCAUAUUCAGCGUGCAUGCAGCUCAGUGUUGUUGUUUUCUACUUUACAAUGAGCCUUCUCCCUUCCAACUUUUUGCACUGGAAACAGCAGGUGUACUUAUCUUUAAAUCAUGUGUAGAUUUAGUGUACUGUUUACCCUCUCCCCCUGGGCUAUAUACCUUUUAUAUUGCAUAAGUGUAUGCGAUUAAAAGCUCAUUUGGUGCAAUAACCAAUAAUGGUUCCUCCCCAUUGCUACUCAGUGCAGUUGGCCAGAGUGGCUUUCUCUCAAUGCUACUCGUGCACUCAGUCACAGUGUCACUCCCACCCAGGAAUAAUGGGCCAUUCAUCCCCUAGGAAGCAGUAAGCUCAGUCAAAGUGAUGAGACUACUGUAGAAUACAAGCUGUUCUUAACUACAACCAGGCUUUUGUAGGGCUCAGGAAGUGUAGGAAUAGGACUACUCUUCAUUGAUGUCCUGCUUCUGGGUGUGGCUAAUAUAAAAUACAGCAAGUCAAAGAGAGGUAUUUGUGGUGAUUUUUUGUUGGUGAACAAGAAAGGCUUUCUUUCCACAUUGUGAAUGUGGAAUGUGCCACAUGUGUCUAGCUGGUUUUAAAUGAGAUCCAGAUACCUUUCUUACACCUGUAAAAAGUCAGACUAGUGAUCUAUGUGUGUGUGUGCAUGGAAUGGCGUGUCAACAAACACCAGCCCAGUUGACCUUGCUUAGUUUUAUAACAAAUAUCUGCCAGCAUUUGGUUUUUAUUAUACAUGAACCAUGACAACAAACAUGAGGGAUCUGUAGGAUGAAAAGAAAUAGGAAAAGAGGGAAACCUUGUUUGUAUACCUUAUGGCACAGCUCCAGUUUAGACUAGGUUUCCAAUGGCAUAACAGUUUGCUUGAGCAAAAUUAUUGGGAAAGAUUUACAAUCUGUAUAAAAUGUCAAGUUUACACAAUUUGUUUCAGAUAUUUUGGCUGCCUUGUGUGUAUGUGCAGGCAUGGCUUUGGGUGGGAUAACACAGCUGAUGCCAUUUUAUAAAUAAAGGCUGGUCUCAAAGUUGCAAUAGCUGAGAAGUUCUUCACACCCCAAAAUUGGGUUCCUCAUCCUAUGGAAAGACAGGCAUGUGAAUGCAUGAGGAACUUCCAUGCACAGUAUAAAGAAUACACCAUGUAUAGCCUUCCGCAGGUGGAUACAUAGCAGUUGAAUUACCAAAGUUUAUAAUGUGGAAUGGACUUGUGAAGGUUUUGAUGUGUUUAAACAAAAGCAUGUUUGACCUAGAUAAUCAUGCAACUGUGUGGCCGCUAUGGCAGAAGCUGUCACAUAACUGUAGUGCUUAUUGCUAAUUCACCUAGAGGUAACGGAGCAGAGGCCUAUAAAUUAUUUUUGCAAAAAUGCUUCCCUGCCGUUCUUGCUUCCAUGACUGCCUGCCCACCCCCAAAAAGUGGCUCUACAGAGAAAUGCCCGAUGUUAAGCUUGCCUAUGUGCCAUCAUGUACCAAGUCUUCACUGGAAUCCCUCAUCCCAGUGGCUGAGUCAAAGAUGCUCACCUGUCCAUUGUUGUUGCUGAAAGCAAAUCUUGUUUGGUGUUGUUAUUCAGAGUAAUAUUUGGAAGCCUUCCCUCUUGCACCUAGCCAAGCUUCCCUGUAGAAUAUAUCAAGGAUGGGGAACCUGUGGCCCUUCCCCAUGUUGCUAGAUUCCAACCCUCACCAUCUGCAGCCAGCAUGGCUAAUUGUCAGGGGGUGAAGAGAGCUGUAGGCCACAAUAUCUGUAGGGCACCAUGAUGGCUACCCCUUUGCUCUGGAGAUUGUAUGUCUUUUUAUAUUCUUUGUUGUUGUCAAUAGCUUACUUUCCUCCCUGUUUCUCUUGUUUCUUGAUGGAACACACCAGAUAGCAAGGCUCCUUGUUGCCUUCAUCACAUUAAGGAAAGAGGUCUCUCCAUUUCCUUAGGGAUGCAGGCUGAGAAAUCUUGCUGACUUCUGACGAGAGCAAGGCAGGGCUGCAAGUCCCUUCAGGCUACACAAACUCACAUCUAAGCUGCAAGAGUAGCUGGGCUGCCUGCAUCUGGCAUGAAGCAAACUGACUUUAUUUAUUUAUUUAUUUAGAGAGGCUGGAAAGUCAGGAGGCCACGUUGUUUAGAACUACGCUCUGUUCCUACAAGAAGAGGAGUCCCACUUGAUCUAAAAUGUAAGGCGAAGGCUAGAACAAGGUGAUAUAAUAAGGAUUUAAAUACUGCUCCUGUACACAAUGGCAGCAAAAAUUAGAGCGCUGCCUGGAGACCUACUUACUGCGCAGGGUCGAAGCUGCUGACUAGUGUGAGCAAUCCAGAUUGAUUGAGAGUCUCUUCACACUUUAUGCAGCUACUCUACUUGUUUACUGCAGAUCAUAAAUAAUAUCUGUGCUGUG